Molecule: ribosomal RNA, 462 nt
Filed under: uncultured bacterium
Lineage: Bacteria
Description: bacterial SSU rRNA
Rfam family: Bacterial small subunit ribosomal RNA
Source: RNAcentral
GACGAACGCUGGCGGCGUGCCUAACACAUGCAAGUCAACGGGGUGAAGCCCUUCGGGACUUCACUUAGUGGCGAACGGGUGAGUAACGCGUGAGGAACCUGCCUUUCAGUGGGGGACAACAGUUGGAAACGACUGCUAAUACCGCAUAACACUUUUUGGGGACAUCCCUAAAAAGUCAAAGCUUUAUGUGCUGAAAGAUGGACCCGCGGCGCAUUAGCUAGUUGGUGAGGUAAUGGCCCACCAAGGCGACGAUGCGUAGCCGACCUGAGAGGGUGAUCGGCCACAUUGGAACUGAGACACGGUCCAGACUCCUACGGGAGGCAGCAGUGGGGAAUAUUGCACAAUGGGGGAAACCCUGAUGCAGCAACGCCGCGUGAGUGAUGACGGUCUUCGGAUUGUAAAGCUCUGUCUUUAGGGACGAUAAUGACGGUACCUAAGGAGGAAGCCACGGCUAACUACGUG